UGAGGCCUCCUGACUGGCGCCGCUGGUCUGGCAACAGAGCGGCGGAUGCCGGAAAGUUGGUCAAACUUGAUCAUUUAGAGGAAGUAAAAGUCGUAACAAGGUUUCCGUAGGUGAACCUGCGGAAGGAUCAUUACCGAUACCGUUGCAAACGUAUCACCGUGUGAACCGUACCAAACCUUUAGGGGUCGGCAAGUCCGUUAAAUGGCGGUCGUACGCGUCCUGCGGGCCGCGGACGCUCCGCCGGCCCCGCCAGUGUGUUUUUUGCACGUGGGCUUUGCGCAUGUACUGUCUGAAGUGAGGGCGUCGCCCCACGAGAGCGAAACGAAACGAGAGACAACUUUUGACGGUGGAUCUCUUGGCUCACGCAUCGAUGAAGAACGCAGCCAGCUGCGAUAAGUAGUGUGAAUUGCAGAAUUCAGUGAAUCAUCGAAUCUUUGAACGCAAAUGGCGCUCUUGGGUUCUCCCAGGAGCAUGUCUGUCUGAGUGUCGGAUACCAUCCAGCGCACCCCACGGUGCGGCGUUGAGGCGUCACGGCCGCCGCCCAAGGCGACACCGUGUCCCUCGAAGGCGAGAGAGACUCGCGCGGGCCGGGACCUGGUUCGCCGGCGCACUCGCGGAGGCUAAAAACGCUUUUUGCCCUUCGCGUGCCGGCGUUUCCGCCCGACCGCCGAGUCGAACGAGGCGAACGACAACCGGAGAAGCGUCUGACCUCAGAUCAG
Molecule: small RNA, 719 nt
Filed under: Nemenzophyllia turbida
Lineage: Eukaryota; Metazoa; Cnidaria; Anthozoa; Scleractinia; Euphylliidae
Description: eukaryotic LSU rRNA
Rfam family: 5.8S ribosomal RNA (bases 336-489)
Source: RNAcentral